This 529-nucleotide long non-coding RNA is filed under the name Pan troglodytes (chimpanzee). RNAcentral's name for it is "lincRNA". Lineage: Eukaryota; Metazoa; Chordata; Mammalia; Primates; Hominidae. The record is from RNAcentral.
ACAUGUGGGACACGGAUGAGAUCAUCAGCGCUCAACCCAUCAGGCAUCCUGACUCAGACGCAGUAGGACAAGGUGGAGGAGAUGCCUCUGUCCCGUCGGUCUGGGGACAGCCCAGCUCCCCGGAUCCCGGGCUGGAGAGACGCGUCGCGGCCCCGGGGCCUGGUGGCACGAGCAGGAAGGAGGACCCGGCGGCGGGCUCUGCCUGGGCUUGCCUGGGCUUGUUCCGAGCCGGGCUGCUUCUCGGUGACCACGCAGAUCGGGGGCAUUUGGAGAUUUUGCGGGAGUCCUGCAGCCAAGCUCCGGGGCAGGAGAGGCCUGGAAGCCUGCACUACCUGCUCGCCCCGUCCCAGCAUGCACCCAGGUAAACGCUUGUGUUUCUCAGUCCGUGCGAAAGUUUGCAAAGAAGGAGGCGGGAACUAGACCAACAACUUUAAUAAUCAUAGUCAUAAUAAGGAAAACCCUGUUCAAUUGUGUAGCCUCCGUAAGGGGAAGAAUUUCCAAGAAGCAACAAAAUGUUCUUUGAUUUCAU